This is a small nucleolar RNA of Musa acuminata AAA Group (dessert banana), 93 nucleotides long. RefSeq annotates it as small nucleolar RNA snoR114. The record is from RefSeq and is a predicted model, not a curated record. The transcript has a single exon. NCBI's taxonomy places the organism in Eukaryota, Viridiplantae, Streptophyta, Magnoliopsida, Zingiberales, Musaceae.
AAGCAGUGAGGAUUAUAUGCGUUAAACGUGAUGUACCGGGUUCAAUCACGACCGUCUGAUUCCAUUAGAUGAUUAAUCAGCGCAUCUGAGCUU